This 279-nucleotide ribosomal RNA is filed under the name uncultured bacterium. RNAcentral's name for it is "partial 16S ribosomal RNA". It matches the Rfam family "Bacterial small subunit ribosomal RNA", at positions 506 to 784 of the family's 1533-position model. The record is from RNAcentral.
UGUCAGCAGCCGCGGUAAUACGGAGGGAGCUAGCGUUGUUCGGAAUUACUGGGCGUAAAGCGCACGUAGGCGGUUACUCAAGUCAGAGGUGAAAGCCCGGGGCUCAACCCCGGAACUGCCUUUGAAACUAGGUAACUAGAAUCCUGGAGAGGUGAGUGGAAUUCCGAGUGUAGAGGUGAAAUUCGUAGAUAUUCGGAAGAACACCAGUGGCGAAGGCGGCUCACUGGACAGGUAUUGACGCUGAGGUGCGAAAGCGUGGGGAGCAAACAGGAUUAGAUA